GUGCCAGCAGCCGCGGUAAUACGUAGGGCGCGAGCGUUAUCCGGAAUUAUUGGGCGUAAAGAGCUCGUAGGCGGUUUGUCGCGUCUGUCGUGAAAGUCCGGGGCUUAACCCCGGAUCUGCGGUGGGUACGGGCAGACUAGAGUGCAGUACGGAGACUGGAAUUCCUGGUGUAGCGGUGGAAUGCGCAGAUAUCAGGAGGAACACCGAUGGCGAGGCAGGUCUCUGGGCUGUACUGACGCUGAGAGCGAAAGCAUGGGGAGCGACAGRAUUAGAUACCCUGGUAGUCC
This 287-nucleotide ribosomal RNA is filed under the name uncultured microorganism. Its description in RNAcentral is "partial 16S ribosomal RNA". It matches the Rfam family "Bacterial small subunit ribosomal RNA", at positions 505 to 796 of the family's 1533-position model. The record is from RNAcentral.